This 325-nucleotide ribosomal RNA is filed under the name uncultured bacterium. RNAcentral's name for it is "bacterial SSU rRNA". It matches the Rfam family "Bacterial small subunit ribosomal RNA", at positions 28 to 334 of the family's 1533-position model. The record is from RNAcentral.
GAUGAACGCUGGCGGCGUGCUUAACACAUGCAAGUCGAGCGAAGCUUCUUCCAUGAUUUCUUCGGAUUGAAUGGAAGGAUGACUGAGCGGCGGACGGGUGAGUAACGCGUGGGGAACCUGCCUUAUACCGGGGGAUAACAGUUAGAAAUGGCUGCUAAUACCGCAUAAGCGCACGGCACCGCAUGGUGCUGUGUGAAAAACUCCGGUGGUAUAAGAUGGACCCGCGUUGGAUUAGCCAGUUGGCGGGGUAACGGCCCACCAAAGCGACGAUCCAUAGCCGGCCUGAGAGGGCGACCGGCCACAUUGGGACUGAGACACGGCCCAG